AAAAAAAAAAGAGGAGGAGGAGAACGAGGAGGAAAGAGAAAAAAGAAAAUUUUUAGGUACUUAUAAGUUGAAGAUCUCACUCAAUGUUUAUCAAAUAGAAACUAAAUUCUUAUUUUACCAUGGCUAGAAAACAUGGCCUUCAGUCAUGGGACUUGGCAGUUGGCCAUCAGAAUGGUAUGACAAAUAAAGUUACGUAACAGGUUGCCACUAAGCUGGCUGGGCUAGGGGACACAGCAAAAGGUAUUAUAUUUGCAGGAAAAAAACUCACAAGGUAUAACACAACGGGGAGGGGGAAUCCUGGCCAACUUGGCCAUGUGUCGUCAGGAUUAACCACGAACAACAGACCUAUAGGAAGAAACCGUGCCCCUUAGCUACUGGGUUUCUUUUGUACGAAACUAGAAACUAAUCUUUCUUAAUUUUCAGUACCACAAAAGAUCCUGUAACCCUACCGCACUCCCAUCCACAGCAGAGAAUUAAAAAGUUCAUUUAUGUUUCCCCCUUGCUACGGAAUAACACCUAACUUCUGUGGAUAUAGUCUCUUUAAGUCAGUAAAGGCGCACGCAGGGAGUUCGAGCUCAUCUAGAAACACCAGGCACCAUGGGAGUUCUCCUUCCAGAAGUUACAGAGGUAUAAAAUCUAUUCAAGUCUCAAAAAGUGGGCCAGGUCUCGGGGAAGAAAGACUGACUGUAUAAACACGGACCUUAAGAAAUCAUUUUAAUCACUUAUGUAAGCUAUUAGUGCAAUAUAUACACUCAGUGUUUCCUAUGGCCUAAAUCUGUGAGUAUAAUUUAUCUAAUAAAGAACUGAAAAAGCUGGCUAGAGCUGGGGUGGUGGUGCGCACCUUUAAUCCCAGGGCUCAGGAGGCAGAAGCAGGAUCUGAGUUCAAGGCCAACUACAAAAGGUCUACACAAACAAAUAAAAUGUCAGUGACUUGGUUCAGAGGGUAGAGGUAGCUGCUUGCCAAGCAGGUUGACUGGAGUUGGACCCAGCCCCCUGUCCCACGUGGUAGAAAAGGGGACCCAUGUCUGGCCUCCACACUAUCACCACUUUGUGCACAGUGGAAGGAGAAUCUCUACAGUUGCAGAAAAUGGAGCUUAGGCACAAGAGAGGAGUCAGCUGCUCUGUCUCCUGGUUGUUUCAUCAGCAGCUGGGUUUGUGUGCUAUCUGUGAGGGAACUGAACACGGAGGGCGAGACGAAGCACAGCUGGACAGGUUCUCACUACGUAGCCCGGGCUGGCACAGAACCCACUGGCAUUUGCUGCCUGGCACUGGUUCUUUUACCUUUUGGAGACAGUUUCUCACAAUAUAGAACGAACUAUCAUCAACCCCCUAAUGCUCCUCACCUCCUCAGCCUUCCGGGUACUAGGAUUACAGAACCACCAACUCUGACUUCUGGUUCCUUUUUGAAAUAGGCCAGAAAUAUGGGCAAUAAUCGCCUUAUGGGAGGAGUGGGAAGUUGCAGAUUCUCAAGAAGAGGGUAGCACAUAUCAUAAAAACAACAACAACAACAAAAUAGGAUCUUAAGCCAUUAUACCAAAUGCUGGAAGAAGGAAAAGAAAUGGGGGAGGGGGAAUGGAGGGAGAGAAGAGAAAUGGAGGGGGGGAGGGAGAAGGGAGGAGAAAUGGAGGGGGGGAGGGAGAAGGGAGG
Long non-coding RNA from Alexandromys fortis (reed vole), 1647 nucleotides. RefSeq lists it as uncharacterized. The transcript is spliced from 3 exons. NCBI's taxonomy places the organism in Eukaryota, Metazoa, Chordata, Mammalia, Rodentia, Cricetidae. The record is from RefSeq and is a predicted model, not a curated record.